UACCUGCAACAAAAGAUGACCAAAACUCAAGCGCAGAGGCAACGACUUACCUUGAACAGGGAGCAGUUCAUGAUGGUUGUUCCUCGUUGGUGCUAUGGAAGGCAUGACGGAUGGGCGGGUUUGGUGGAUAGGUGGCUCGGCGACGAUGCAGAGUUUGCUGCCAAGAGCAUCAAGGCCCGGGCUAACCGUGGAAAAGACGGGACACACGGCCAAGGAAACAGGAACCACUGGGGCUUCAAGGCCAUGAAGGAGGACAAGUUAAAGAGGCCGCUCUCAGACAUUGAGUCGUGGAAGCUGGCCCGCGAGCGGAGUCAUCCCAAG
Molecule: ribosomal RNA, 321 nt
Filed under: Triticum aestivum (bread wheat)
Lineage: Eukaryota; Viridiplantae; Streptophyta; Magnoliopsida; Poales; Poaceae
Description: partial small subunit ribosomal RNA
Source: RNAcentral